This 492-nucleotide ribosomal RNA is filed under the name uncultured bacterium. Its description in RNAcentral is "partial 16S ribosomal RNA". It matches the Rfam family "Bacterial small subunit ribosomal RNA", at positions 30 to 507 of the family's 1533-position model. The record is from RNAcentral.
AGUGAACGCUGGCGGUAGGCCUAACACAUGCAAGUCGAACGGCAGCACAGUAAGAUCUUGCUCUUACGGGUUGCGAGUGGCGGACGGGUGAGGUAUACAUCGGAAUCUACUUUUUCGUGGGGGAUAACGUAGGGAAACUUACGCUAAUACCGCAUACGACCUACGGGUGAAAGCAGUGGAUCUUCUGACCUUGCGCGAUUGAAUGAGCCGAUGUCGGAUUAGCUAGUUGGCUGGGUAAAGGCCCACCAAGGCGACGAUCCGUAGCUGGUCUGAGAGGAUGAUCAGCGACACGGGAAGGGAGACAGGGACAAGAGGACUACGGGAGGGAGCAGUGGGGAAUAGUGGACAAGGGGGGGAAGCAUGAUACAGCGAGAGCGAGGGGGAGAAGAAGGCGUUCGGGGUGUAAAGACAGUUUGUUGGGAAAGAAAAGCAGCAGGUUAAUACGCAGCGGUAGUGACGGUAACGAAAGAAUAAGCACCGGCUAACUUCGUG